RNAcentral lists this long non-coding RNA (250 nucleotides) under Mytilus galloprovincialis (Mediterranean mussel). Lineage: Eukaryota; Metazoa; Mollusca; Bivalvia; Mytilida; Mytilidae. The record is from RNAcentral.
UGCAUAGUAGUUUAGUGGUUGUCUGUCAUAUUUGUUUUUCGUCAAUAGUUUUGUUGUAAUUCAUCAGUCCCACCUCUCCCCCAACUAAUAUAAAAUAGGCAUGUCAUUCUAAAUUUUGAAAUGAGCUCAGGAUAUAAAACCAGUACAAACAUAUUGAGUGUCAUAUCUCAGACUAUGUCUGAUCGAUCUUUAUUGGAAUUGGUGUGUGCUGUCUCCGUAUUUCGUGGAUCCAAAUUCCCAAACAUAGUUC